RNAcentral lists this transfer RNA (67 nucleotides) under Marmota monax (woodchuck). RNAcentral describes it as "tRNA.Ser". The record is from RNAcentral. Lineage: Eukaryota; Metazoa; Chordata; Mammalia; Rodentia; Sciuridae.
GGUUGUGGCUCAGCGGUAGAGCACUCGCCUAGAGCGUGCGAGGCGCUGGGUUUGAUCCUCAGCAUCA